Long non-coding RNA from Manis pentadactyla (Chinese pangolin), 613 nucleotides. RefSeq lists it as uncharacterized. The transcript has 4 exons. The record is from RefSeq and is a predicted model, not a curated record. NCBI's taxonomy places the organism in Eukaryota, Metazoa, Chordata, Mammalia, Pholidota, Manidae.
AGGUGAGCAUAUGGUUGGUGAUUAAGGAUAUGCCCCGAAUGUUCCAUCUGAAGCCUCUGCCAAUCUCUGCCUUAUUUGGGCAGUGGAUGUCAUGAAGCUUCAUCACAGUAUUUCCCUCAUCUCCUGAAGGAAGACAUAGGAGGAAGGAGGGACCAACCUGUGAAGAAUAAUUAUCUCAGGCUGAGCCUUUCAUAGGUCUUUAAUGAGAGUAAGUCUGAUGAAGUACAGUUUCAGAAUACUAUCUUCAAGUGAAGGAAUCUUACGUGAUGACUGGCCAUCCAAUUUCCAUUGCCAAAAACAAAACAAAAACACCAGUACUAAAGGAAUGUAAGAUGAUGAUAUCCUUUUCAGUUUAGUGACUGUUACCUGACUGAGAAGAGGAAACUGUCAAAGAUCUUCCUCUGAGAAAAUGGCAGAUCACAAAGAAGACAACUCAUUUCUGAGGAUUCUAAUUUUCAGUAUUAUUGUCAUGGAAAAGAGAUGCCAACCAAGAAGCCUUAAGUUAUUUGGACCACAUUCAAAGGCCUGUGUAUUGAAAAUGGCUUCUUAGUUUCUGCGCUCAAUUAUUCUAACAUCAAGAAAGAUCUCACUAAAGACAGAGUAAUGAAGACAA